Molecule: long non-coding RNA, 600 nt
Filed under: Mytilus galloprovincialis (Mediterranean mussel)
Lineage: Eukaryota; Metazoa; Mollusca; Bivalvia; Mytilida; Mytilidae
Source: RNAcentral
CUCUAAUGUCUAUAUAUAAUUCUCAUUCGAAAUCCGAUUUCGAGACCGUUAUUUCAAUAACCUUUGGUCUUUUUGUUGUGAAAUUUAAAAAAAAAAAGAAAUAUUUUAGAAAUAACAAAUAACGUAGAUGGGUGAAAAAAAACCUUUCAAAGUAAAUCUUCCGGUCAAUGCUAAGUUGUUGAAGGGAGAUAUACUGCUCCUCACCACCAUAAGAACAUCUGAUUAUGCCAUCUUGACUUUCACAAAUGUUUGAAAUGGAUAUAAUCUUAGUUAAAACCCCAACAACAACACAUAUUCCUUUUACUAAUGCAUUCACCAUUUUCAAUUUUAUUUCACAAUUUCAAGAUGGUGGACACUAAUCACUCGCACAUUGGUCAAAGAACAACAUACAGUCGCAAUUAUGUCUAAUGUUGGUGCACUGUCCGGAUUGCAAUGGAGAUAGUCUAUCGGAAUGGUACUCUGAAGUAUUGUAUACUUAUUACGUACAAGACCAAUCAUACGCUCGACAUGGAUUCUUGUGUGUGCAAUUUUCCUGGCCUGUGCAAUUUCAAGUGGGAACAAUUGCUUUUCCCUUAGUGAAUGCUAAAAUUUUAACUCUGC